Molecule: ribosomal RNA, 1552 nt
Filed under: Escherichia coli
Lineage: Bacteria; Pseudomonadati; Pseudomonadota; Gammaproteobacteria; Enterobacterales; Enterobacteriaceae
Description: bacterial SSU rRNA
Rfam family: Bacterial small subunit ribosomal RNA
Source: RNAcentral
AAAUUGAAGAGUUUGAUCAUGGCUCAGAUUGAACGCUGGCGGCAGGCCUAACACAUGCAAGUCGAACGGUAACAGGAAACAGCUUGCUGUUUCGCUGACGAGUGGCGGACGGGUGAGUAAUGUCUGGGAAACUGCCUGAUGGAGGGGGAUAACUACUGGAAACGGUAGCUAAUACCGCAUAACGUCGCAAGACCAAAGAGGGGGACCUUCGGGCCUCUUGCCAUCGGAUGUGCCCAGAUGGGAUUAGCUUGUUGGUGGGGUAAAGGCUCACCAAGGCGACGAUCCCUAGCUGGUCUGAGAGGAUGACCAGCCACACUGGAACUGAGACACGGUCCAGACUCCUACGGGAGGCAGCAGUGGGGAAUAUUGCACAAUGGGCGCAAGCCUGAUGCAGCCAUGCCGCGUGUAUGAAGAAGGCCUUCGGGUUGUAAAGUACUUUCAGCGGGGAGGAAGGGAGUAAAGUUAAUACCUUUGCUCAUUGACGUUACCCGCAGAAGAAGCACCGGCUAACUCCGUGCCAGCAGCCGCGGUAAUACGGAGGGUGCAAGCGUUAAUCGGAAUUACUGGGCGUAAAGCGCACGCAGGCGGUUUGUUAAGUCAGAUGUGAAAUCCCCGGGCUCAACCUGGGAACUGCAUCUGAUACUGGCAAGCUUGAGUCUCGUAGAGGGGGUAGAAUUCCAGGUGUAGCGGUGAAAUGCGUAGAGAUCUGGAGGAAUACCGGUGGCGAAGGCGGCCCCCUGGACGAAGACUGACGCUCAGGUGCGAAAGCGUGGGGAGCAAACAGGAUUAGAUACCCUGGUAGUCCACGCCGUAAACGAUGUCGACUUGGAGGUUGUGCCCUUGAGGCGUGGCUUCCGGAGCUAACGCGUUAAGUCGACCGCCUGGGGAGUACGGCCGCAAGGUUAAAACUCAAAUGAAUUGACGGGGGCCCGCACAAGCGGUGGAGCAUGUGGUUUAAUUCGAUGCAACGCGAAGAACCUUACCUGGUCUUGACAUCCACGGAAGUUUUCAGAGAUGAGAAUGUGCCUUCGGGAACCGUGAGACAGGUGCUGCAUGGCUGUCGUCAGCUCGUGUUGUGAAAUGUUGGGUUAAGUCCCGCAACGAGCGCAACCCUUAUCCUUUGUUGCCAGCGGUCCGGCCGGGAACUCAAAGGAGACUGCCAGUGAUAAACUGGAGGAAGGUGGGGAUGACGUCAAGUCAUCAUGGCCCUUACGACCAGGGCUACACACGUGCUACAAUGGCGCAUACAAGAGAAGCGACCUCGCGAGAGCAAGCGGACCUCAUAAAGUGCGUCGUAGUCCGGAUUGGAGUCUGCAACUCGACUCCAUGAAGUCGGAAUCGCUAGUAAUCGUGGAUCAGAAUGCCACGGUGAAUACGUUCCCGGGCCUUGUACACACCGCCCGUCACACCAUGGGAGUGGGUUGCAAAAGAAGUAGGUAGCUUAACCUUCGGGAGGGCGCUUACCACUUUGUGAUUCAUGACUGGGGUGAAGUCGUAACAAGGUAACCGUAGGGGAACCUGCGGUUGGAUCACCUCCUUACCUUAAAGAAGC